This 860-nucleotide ribosomal RNA is filed under the name Curvularia nodulosa. Its description in RNAcentral is "LSU rRNA". It matches the Rfam family "Eukaryotic large subunit ribosomal RNA", at positions 75 to 953 of the family's 3401-position model. The record is from RNAcentral. Lineage: Eukaryota; Fungi; Ascomycota; Dothideomycetes; Pleosporales; Pleosporaceae.
UUGCCCUAGUAACGGCGAGUGAAGCGGCAACAGCUCAAAUUUGAAAUCUGGCUCUUUCAGAGUCCGAGUUGUAAUUUGCAGAGGGCGCUUUGGCUUUGGCAGCGGUCCAAGUUCCUUGGAACAGGACGUCACAGAGGGUGAGAAUCCCGUACGUGGUCGCUAGCUAUUGCCGUGUAAAGCCCCUUCGACGAGUCGAGUUGUUUGGGAAUGCAGCUCUAAAUGGGAGGUAAAUUUCUUCUAAAGCUAAAUAUUGGCCAGAGACCGAUAGCGCACAAGUAGAGUGAUCGAAAGAUGAAAAGCACUUUGGAAAGAGAGUCAAACAGCACGUGAAAUUGUUGAAAGGGAAGCGCUUGCAGCCAGACUUGCUUGCAGUUGCUCAUCCGGGCUUUUGCCCGGUGCACUCUUCUGUAGGCAGGCCAGCAUCAGUUUGGGCGGUGGGAUAAAGGUCUCUGUCACGUACCUCUCUUCGGGGAGGCCUUAUAGGGGAGACGACAUACCACCAGCCUAGACUGAGGUCCGCGCAUCUGCUAGGAUGCUGGCGUAAUGGCUGUAAGCGGCCCGUCUUGAAACACGGACCAAGGAGUCUAACAUCUAUGCGAGUGUUUGGGUGUCAAGCCCGAGCGCGUAAUGAAAGUGAACGGAGGUGGGAACCCGCAAGGGUGCACCAUCGACCGAUCCUGAAGUUUACGGAAGGAUUUGAGUAAGAGCAUGGCUGUUGGGACCCGAAAGAUGGUGAACUAUGCUUGAAUAGGGUGAAGCCAGAGGAAACUCUGGUGGAGGCUCGCAGCGGUUCUGACGUGCAAAUCGAUCGUCAAAUUUGGGCAUAGGGGCGAAAGACUAAUCGAACUAUCUAGUAGCUG